RNAcentral lists this ribosomal RNA (288 nucleotides) under Triticum aestivum (bread wheat). RNAcentral's name for it is "partial small subunit ribosomal RNA". The record is from RNAcentral. Lineage: Eukaryota; Viridiplantae; Streptophyta; Magnoliopsida; Poales; Poaceae.
GAGUAGUAUCUACAAAUAUUACCAAAAACAUCGUUAAAAUACUUCUAUGAGAGGGUUUCAAGUUUGCGUCAUCAAAAGAAAAAGACUAGAAAAGGAAUACGUAGAACAAGAACCUUUUUAAAGCGUAUCAGCCAACCCGGCUUACGAAUGUAUACCAACUAUCAAGGAAUUCCUAAAGUUUUGGGUGGAAUGGGAUUUGCUAUUCUUUCUACUUCUCGAGGAAUAAUGAGAGAUCGAGAAGCUCGACUAAACAGAAUAGGGGGAGAAGUCAUAUUUUAUAUAUGGUAA